This 488-nucleotide ribosomal RNA is filed under the name uncultured bacterium. Its description in RNAcentral is "bacterial SSU rRNA". It matches the Rfam family "Bacterial small subunit ribosomal RNA", at positions 903 to 1397 of the family's 1533-position model. The record is from RNAcentral.
AAAGGAAUUGACGGGCACCCGCACAAGCGGUGGAGCAUGCUGUUUAAUUCGAAGAUACGCGAAGAACCUUACCUAGACUUGACAUCCCCGGCAAAGCUAUAGAAAUAUAGUGGAGGUUAUCCGGGUGACAGGUGGUGCAUGGUUGUCGUCAGCUCGUGUCGUGAGAUGUUCGGUUAAGUCCGAUAACGAGCGCAACCCUUAUCUUUAGUUGCUAACAUUUAGUUGAGAACUCUAAAGAGACUGCCGGUGAUAAACCGGAGGAAGGUGGGGAUGACGUCAAAUCAUCAUGCCCCUUACGUCUAGGGCUACAGGCGUGCUACAAUGGCUGGUACAAAAAGAUGCAAGACCGCGAGGUGGAGCCAAUCUCAAAAACCAGCCCCAGUUCGGAUUGGAGUCUGCAACUCGACUCCAUGAAGUUGGAAUCGCUAGUAAUCCUGAAUCAGAAUGUCAGGGUGAAUACGUUCCCGGGUGUUGUACACACCGCCCGU